GGUUGUCGUUAGUUGCAUGCAAACGUGUACGCCGCUUAGCACGAACGAAGGAGAAUUGCAUUGUGAAACCCGGCACGGAGCGAGUGCAGAUUUGCACUGCAAAACUCAAAAAACUCAAGAAAACAAAAUAAAAACCACAAAAAAAAGUAUAAGAAAUAUAACAAAGUGCAUUUUUUGUAAAUAAAAUUUUAAAAACAUUUCGUUGGCCGAGUAAAUUUGAAAAUUUUUGUGUGUAUUAUAAUUUAUCUUAAAAAAUUGCAUUUAACCGCCACCAGACGCGUUCUUGGCGACGACAGCCGUGUGUGUGAAUGCAAUGCAACCAACGCUGCCGCAGUCCGCUCGCUGCCGCUGAACAAUGCGGAGUAUAGAAUAGCAAAAGUGCAGCAGAAAAAAGUGCAUUCAAAAUGCAAUUCGCAAAAAGUGAGUGCAACUCACAAACACAAAGAAACAAAGCGUAUGUGUGCGUGUGUAUGGACGCGCUCUUGCAGUUUUUAUAAAAAUUCAUUCAGCGUCGCAUCAGCGCAUACACACACAGCCACACACACACACAAGCAGCAUGGACUGCAGCGCGACUCAAGUGUGCUCGCCACAAAGUGAAGCAUCUUGCAGCGGCUGGCUAUUUGAAGAGCUGUUUGACAUUUUUCGUGAAAAAAUGUGAAUCUUCAGGAAUUUUAAUGCAUGAAACACUUGACAUUUGUAUACAAAUUUAUGUGAGAACAUCAAAAGAUGCAGUUUGUGCAGUUAGUGCGUCGCCUGUGUGGGCCGUCACCGCAGAAUUCAGUUGCCUUAAUUCAGCAAAAGCGCCACGUACUCGUGAACAUAUCCUAGUUGCGUUAAUCUGAUGAACCACACACCCACACACACAUACACGCAAUAACAUAGAAAUAACUUUUGCUUAUUGGAGGUGUGUUGAGCCGACGUGUCGGGGCCAUUUGAAGGUCGAUUCUGGUGGAAACAUUGUGAAAUUAUAUUAAAGUGAUCUUAAAAGCAUUUUAAUAGUAGUGACAAAAACUAAUUCAUUUCCGCGUAUACACUGAUGUGAAAUGAAAAAACAAAUAUUUUUAUAGGGAAAUGGCGACCAACAUUAAGUAACUGUGAAACUUUCUUUACGGUAUCCUUGCAACACAUCGCUUGAGUUUUUGCAUUUUUGAAUUGCUUUCAACAGCUUUGAUUUUGAUAUGGUAUUUCCAUCUAAGCUCUGCAUCCAAAGUCGUGCCUAUAUACUUGGCACUAUUGACAUAUGGCACUAUCGCUGAAAGAAUAACUUAUAAGCAGGUUC
Long non-coding RNA from Anastrepha ludens (Mexican fruit fly), 1279 nucleotides. RefSeq lists it as uncharacterized. The record is from RefSeq and is a predicted model, not a curated record. NCBI's taxonomy places the organism in Eukaryota, Metazoa, Arthropoda, Insecta, Diptera, Tephritidae. The transcript is spliced from 3 exons.